ACGCUGCUGGUGUAGUGGUAACAUGAGAGCUUCCCACGUGAUCUGUGGCCGACGACCUCGUCGGAUACGUGUGCUUUCGCCAGGGGUUCGAUUCCCCUGCAGCGUA
Papiliotrema laurentii is the source of this 106-nucleotide non-coding RNA. Lineage: Eukaryota; Fungi; Basidiomycota; Tremellomycetes; Tremellales; Rhynchogastremaceae. The record is from the annotation of a GenBank genome assembly.